AGACACGGUCCAGACUCCUACGGGAGGCAGCAGUGGGGAAUAUUGCACAAUGGGCGCAAGCCUGAUGCAGCCAUGCCGCGUGUAUGAAGAAGGCCUUCGGGUUGUAAAGUACUUUCAGCGGGGAGGAAGGGAGUAAAGUUAAUAACCUUGCUCGAUUGACGUUACCCGCAGAAGAAGCACCGGCUAACUCCGUGCCAGCAGCCGCGGUAAUACGGAGGGUGCAAGCGUUAAUCGGAAUUACUGGGCGUAAAGC
Molecule: ribosomal RNA, 253 nt
Filed under: Escherichia coli
Lineage: Bacteria; Pseudomonadati; Pseudomonadota; Gammaproteobacteria; Enterobacterales; Enterobacteriaceae
Description: partial 16S ribosomal RNA
Rfam family: Bacterial small subunit ribosomal RNA
Source: RNAcentral